RNAcentral lists this unclassified non-coding RNA (335 nucleotides) under soil metagenome. Its description in RNAcentral is "partial contains 5.8S ribosomal RNA, internal transcribed spacer 2, and large subunit ribosomal RNA". The stretch from base 1 to 120 matches the Rfam family "5.8S ribosomal RNA", at positions 35 to 154 of the family's 154-position model. The record is from RNAcentral.
GAUGAAGAACGUAGCGAAAUGCGAUAAGUAAUGUGAAUUGCAGAAUUCAGUGAAUCAUCGAAUUUUUGAACGCACAUUGCGCCCGCCAGUAUUCUGGCGGGCAUGCCUGUUCGAGCGUCAUUUCAACCAUCAAGCCCCCGGCUUGUGUUGGGGACCUGCGGCUGCCGCAGGCCCUGAAAACCAGUGGCGGGCUCGCUAGUCACUCCGAGCGUAGUAAUACAUCUCGCUCAGGGCGUGCUGCGGGUUCCGGCCGUUAAAAAGCCUUAUUUACCCAAGGUUGACCUCGGAUCAGGUAGGAAGACCCGCUGAACUUAAGCAUAUCAAUAAGCGGAGGA